Molecule: ribosomal RNA, 301 nt
Filed under: uncultured bacterium
Lineage: Bacteria
Description: partial 16S ribosomal RNA
Rfam family: Bacterial small subunit ribosomal RNA
Source: RNAcentral
CAGCAGCCGCGGGAAUACGAAGGGUGCAAGCGUUAAUCGGAAUUACUGGGCGUAAAGCGUGCGUAGGCGGUGAGUUAAGUCUGCUGUGAAAUCCCCGGGCUCAACCUGGGAAUUGCAGUGGAUACUGGGUCACUAGAGUGUGGUAGAGGAUAGUGGAAUUUCCGGUGUAGCAGUGAAAUGCGUAGAGAUCGGAAGGAACAUCUGUGGCGAAGGCGACUAUCUGGGCCAACACUGACACUGAGGCACGAAAGCGUGGGGAGCAAACAGGAUUAGAUACCCCAGAGUCCCUGUCUCUUAUACA